UCGGGAAUAUUGCGCAAUGGAGGAAACUCUGACGCAGUGACGCCGCGUGCAGGAGGAAGGUCCUACGGAUUGUAAACCUCUUUAGCCGGGGAGCAACGUGCGCCACGUGUGGCGCAGUGAGAGUACCCGGAGAAUAAGCAUCGGCUAACUCCGUGCCAGCAGCCGCGGUAAUACGGAGGAUGCGAGCGUUAUCCGGAUUUAUUGGGUUUAAAGGGUGCGCAGGCGGCGCGAAAAGUCAGCGGUCAAAGUUCCGGGCUCAACCCGGUGACGCCGUUGAAACUUUCGGGCUGGAGUUCGUGCGAGGGAGGCGGAAUGCGUUGUGUAGCGGUGAAAUGCAUAGAUAUGACGCAGAACCCCGAUUGCGAAGGCAGCUUUCCAGCACGCGACUGACGCUGAGGCACGAAAGCGUGGGGAGCGAACAGGAUUAGAUACCCUGGUAGU
RNAcentral lists this ribosomal RNA (441 nucleotides) under uncultured Porphyromonadaceae bacterium. RNAcentral's name for it is "bacterial SSU rRNA". It matches the Rfam family "Bacterial small subunit ribosomal RNA", at positions 355 to 794 of the family's 1533-position model. The record is from RNAcentral. Lineage: Bacteria; Pseudomonadati; Bacteroidota; Bacteroidia; Bacteroidales; Porphyromonadaceae.